UUCUAGCUGACGAGUCCUAAAUAGGAUGAAACCAGAGUCUUGGAU
RNAcentral lists this non-coding RNA (45 nucleotides) under Schistosoma haematobium. The record is from RNAcentral. Lineage: Eukaryota; Metazoa; Platyhelminthes; Trematoda; Strigeidida; Schistosomatidae.